GUUGAAGCCAUAUGCGUAUUCCUGUUUGGUGAGUGUUUCUCUUUUACUAGUUGGAUACUUCUCUUUGGAUAGAUUGAUAUGUAGCCUGAUUAUUGACUCUCCUGCUUAGGAAAUCACAGAGUCUUUUUUACAUAUACACUAGUUCUCAAAAGUAUAAAAAAAUGUGGAUCUAUGGUGGUUAAUUAACUGAAUGUCAGAUAUCAGAUAGUGAUAAAACAAUUUAUCACCCCCCAUGUAUUUGCACUUGUAAUUGGCUUAUUGUCUUCCAAUCUUGAAUUUUCUUGUGUUUUUGCUUUAAUUAUUGUAGUGGUGACGUCAUGUCUCCUGCUCCACCCAAAAGACACAAAACAGACUGGAAAAUAAAAAUGAAAUUUGAUCACAAGGACAAAGAAUUUGUAAAAGCUUGUUGUAUGCACUAUGCUGAAAGUGCUCAAAUGAUGAUAAGGCACAGGAGAGAUUUAUGAGGAUAACACAUGCAUACAAUACAUUGCUAAAUUCUAGUUCCCGCAAAAAUACCAUGAAGUGCCUUGUGAUAGUUUGGAUGUUUAGAUGCUUUUAAUUAUCUGUUAGAGGU
This is a non-coding RNA of Cajanus cajan (pigeon pea), 574 nucleotides long. The record is from RefSeq and is a predicted model, not a curated record. NCBI's taxonomy places the organism in Eukaryota, Viridiplantae, Streptophyta, Magnoliopsida, Fabales, Fabaceae.